GACGAACGCUGGCGGCGUGCUUAACACAUGCAAGUCGAGCGGUAAGGCCCUUUCGGGGGUACACGAGCGGCGAACGGGUGAGUAACACGUGGGUGACCUGCCUUUAGCUCUGGGAUAAGCCUGGGAAACCGGGUCUAAUACCGGAUAUGACUCCAUGACGCAUGUUGUGGGGUGGAAAGCCUUGUGCGGCUAGGGGAUGGGCCCGCGGCCUAUCAGCUUGUUGGUGGGGUGAUGGCCUACCAAGGCGACGACGGGUAGCCGGCCUGAGAGGGCGACCGGCCACACUGGGACUGAGACACGGCCCAGACUCCUACGGGAGGCAGCAGUGGGGAAUCUUGCGCAAUGGGCGAAAGCCUGACGCAGCGACGCCGCGUGAGGGAUGACGGCCUGG
This 391-nucleotide ribosomal RNA is filed under the name uncultured bacterium. RNAcentral describes it as "bacterial SSU rRNA". It matches the Rfam family "Bacterial small subunit ribosomal RNA", at positions 28 to 419 of the family's 1533-position model. The record is from RNAcentral.